RNAcentral lists this ribosomal RNA (232 nucleotides) under uncultured bacterium. Its description in RNAcentral is "partial 16S ribosomal RNA". It matches the Rfam family "Bacterial small subunit ribosomal RNA", at positions 100 to 334 of the family's 1533-position model. The record is from RNAcentral.
CGGGACGGGUGAGUAAUGUCUGGGAAACUGCCUGAUGGAGGGGGGUAACUACUGGAAACGGUAGCUAAUACCGCAUAACGUCGCAAGACCAAAGAGGGGGACCUCGGGCCUCUUGCCAUCGGAUGUGCCCAGAUGGGAUUAGCUAGUAGGUGGGGUAACGGCUCACCUAGGCGACGAUCCCUAGCUGGUCUGAGAGGAUGACCAGCCACACUGGAACUGAGACACGGUCCAG